Molecule: ribosomal RNA, 369 nt
Filed under: uncultured Glomeromycotina
Lineage: Eukaryota; Fungi; Glomeromycota
Description: SSU rRNA
Rfam family: Eukaryotic small subunit ribosomal RNA
Source: RNAcentral
AGCAGCCGCGGUAAUUCCAGCUCCAAUAGCGUAUAUUAAAGUUAUUGCAGUUAAAAAGCUCGUAGUUGAAUUUCGGGAUCAAUACGUCGGUCGUGCUUUGGUACGUACUGGCGUCAUUGAUUUCUCCCUUCUGACGAACCAUGAUGUCAUUAACUUGGUGUCAUGGGAAAUCAGGACUGUUAACUUUGAAAAAAUUAGAGUGUUUAAAGCAGGCUCACGCUUGAAUACAUUAGCAUGGAAUAAUGAAAUAGGACGUUCGAUCCUAUUUUGUGUUUUAGGAUCAACGUAAUGAUUAAUAGGGAUAGUUGGGGGCAUUAGUAUUCAAUUGUCAGAGGUGAAAUUCUUGGAUUUAUUGAAGACUAACUACUG